This is a long non-coding RNA of Gavialis gangeticus (Gharial), 132 nucleotides long. RefSeq lists it as uncharacterized. The record is from RefSeq and is a predicted model, not a curated record. Lineage: Eukaryota; Metazoa; Chordata; Crocodylia; Gavialidae. The transcript has 2 exons.
GCGGGGGCUGGCCGUGCGAGCGGGGUGGCGGACAGACGAGGCGGGCAGAUGGCAGACAGCAUAGAAGAUCUAAAAGACAUUUGGAAGUGCCUUGACUAUAGAGGCCUCCUCCUGUAUGCCUGCCAUGUAGUG